CUUAGGGUGAAAUGGAAAUAUUGCUAACAAACACCAAUGCUUAGAUUUGUCAGACUGCAGACAGUAAUGAAGAUGUUUUGGUUGUGGAUCACAAAGUGUCCCUUUAAAGAGACCUUUCACUAGUGAGAUGUGCGCACAAUUGAAUAUCUAAAUGAACGUUAGCUAUAGGUUGUGUUAUUAAUUUUUAUAGCUUGCACGUCUGUGUAGAAGUGGUAAU
Pelobates cultripes (western spadefoot toad) is the source of this 217-nucleotide non-coding RNA. NCBI's taxonomy places the organism in Eukaryota, Metazoa, Chordata, Amphibia, Anura, Pelobatidae. The record is from the annotation of a GenBank genome assembly.